UACGUAGGUGGCAAGCGUUGUCCGGAUUUACUGGGCGUAAAGAGCGCGCAGGCGGUCGUUCAAGUCGCGUGUGAAAGCCCCCGGCUCAACUGGGGAGGGUCACGCGAUACUGAUCGACUCGAAGGCAGGAGAGGGAAGUGGAAUUCCCGGUGUAGUGGUGAAAUGCGUAGAUAUCGGGAGGAACACCAGUGGCGAAGGCGAGUCUCUGGGAUGAUGCUGACGCUGAGGCGCGAAAGCCAGGGGAGCAAACGGG
RNAcentral lists this ribosomal RNA (253 nucleotides) under uncultured bacterium. Its description in RNAcentral is "partial 16S ribosomal RNA". It matches the Rfam family "Bacterial small subunit ribosomal RNA", at positions 524 to 776 of the family's 1533-position model. The record is from RNAcentral.